This 465-nucleotide ribosomal RNA is filed under the name Vreelandella stevensii. RNAcentral describes it as "partial 16S ribosomal RNA". It matches the Rfam family "Bacterial small subunit ribosomal RNA", at positions 338 to 795 of the family's 1533-position model. Lineage: Bacteria; Pseudomonadati; Pseudomonadota; Gammaproteobacteria; Oceanospirillales; Halomonadaceae. The record is from RNAcentral.
CCUACGGGGGGCUGCAGUGGGGAAUAUUGGACAAUGGGGGCAUCCCUGAUCCAGCCAUGCCGCGUGUGUGAAGAAGGCCCUCGGGUUGUAAAGCACUUUCAGUGAGGAAGAACGCCUGGUGGUUAAUACCCAUCAGGAAAGACAUCACUCACAGAAGAAGCACCGGCUAACUCCGUGCCAGCAGCCGCGGUAAUACGGAGGGUGCGAGCGUUAAUCGGAAUUACUGGGCGUAAAGCGCGCGUAGGUGGCUUGAUAAGCCGGUUGUGAAAGCCCCGGGCUCAACCUGGGAACGGCAUCCGGAACUGUCAAGCUAGAGUGCAGGAGAGGAAGGUAGAAUUCCCGGUGUAGCGGUGAAAUGCGUAGAGAUCGGGAGGAAUACCAGUGGCGAAGGCGGCCUUCUGGACUGACACUGACACUGAGGUGCGAAAGCGUGGGUAGCAAACAGGAUUAGAUACCCGUGUAGUC